CCUCCCUCCCAGACCCUCCGACCUCCUGGCCAGCAUCCAUGUUGAAGCUGCCUUCAACAUGGAUGCUGGCCAGGAGGUCGGAGGGUCUGGGAGGGAGGGUCUGCUG
RNAcentral lists this microRNA precursor (106 nucleotides) under Pelobates cultripes (western spadefoot toad). Lineage: Eukaryota; Metazoa; Chordata; Amphibia; Anura; Pelobatidae. The record is from RNAcentral.